This 398-nucleotide long non-coding RNA is filed under the name Lathyrus oleraceus (garden pea). RNAcentral describes it as "Pisum sativum (pea) long non-coding RNA (PSAT_LNC042035)". The record is from RNAcentral. Lineage: Eukaryota; Viridiplantae; Streptophyta; Magnoliopsida; Fabales; Fabaceae.
UGGAACUGAGGUUGUGGAGCUUGAUAUUGAGGAACUGGAACUUGAUAGUGAGGUACCGGAGCUGGAAUAGGAACAUGAGCAAUUGGACGAUAAGGCAUGGUUGGAUAUUGAAGUGGAGGAGCCUGGAACUGAGGUUGUGGAGCUUGAUAUUGAGGAACUGGAACUUGAUAGUGAGGUACCGGAGCUGGAAUAGGAACAUGAGCAAUUGGACGAUAAGGCAUGGUUGGAUAUUGAGCAGCAACUAUGUAAGGGUACUGAUAAUAAGGCACAGAAGCAGGAGCUCUGGGUGGUACCCUCCCCCUUUGAGAAGAAAUGGCGCUAGUCUCGCCCUCCUUCCUCUUGAAUCCAUUGAAAGGCUUCUUCAAGAUUGGUUGGCUGCUGGAACCUCCCUGGAUUUU